This 1454-nucleotide long non-coding RNA is filed under the name Vigna radiata. RNAcentral's name for it is "long non-coding RNA (VRAD_LNC004143)". The record is from RNAcentral. Lineage: Eukaryota; Viridiplantae; Streptophyta; Magnoliopsida; Fabales; Fabaceae.
UUCCUUUCUCUCAUCCCGAUAGUAUUUUGCUAUAUGACCGACCUUACCACAACAAUAACAUUUGACCGAUCUGCACUCAUUUGCAUAGUGGUCAUGCUUGCCACACUUAAUACAUUCAACAUCAGAAUUACUUGACCGACCUCCUCGGUCUCUCCUUUGUCCACAACCACACCAGUUCUACAACUGGUUUGCUCCUUGUCGUCUUUAUAAUCACUUCGGACACGACUUCCUCGUCCUUGGCUGCUUCCUUCAAUACCACCUCGGCCUUGAGUGUUCCAAGCUCUUCCCUUCAUGUCAAGCUUGGCCUAAAGUGCUUGAUCAAGUGGCUUAAACAUCAUCCUUCUCCGUUGCUUGUUUGCCUCGAGGGACCUGGCAAGCUCUUCAACUAAGAGCAAUGUCAAAUCCUUGGAUUCCUCGAUGGUGCAUAUUAUACUCUCAAAGUCCUUAGUCAACGACCUUAAGACCUUCUCCACAAUCCUGCUGGCCGGAAACUCCUCUCGGUUUCUGUCGAGAUGAUUUGCUAUCACCUCCAUCCAAGACAUAUACUUAGUCACUCGUUCUCUUUCCUCCAUUCUCAUGCUUUCAAACUCACCUCUAAUAGUUUGAAGUCUAAGAUGCCUAGCACGGUUAUUGCCUUUGUAAACUUUCUCUAGAAUCUGUCACGCUAUCUUCUCAAAACUAGAUUCGUCCACAACUUGUUACAGUAUAUACAAAGCUGAUUGAUCUUUCACACGCAAUCAUUUCAACACAACAACUUGGGCAACCGUAUGCUCCUCAUUUUUUGUUGGCUCUUCAUAUCCAUUAUGAACUACAUCCCACACAUCUUGGGAUCCAAGAAAGGCUCUCAUCUACACAUUCCAAUUAUUAAAGUUGACUUUCUUUGUUAACCGAGGCAAUGCCACACUUUUUGCUAGGUUGGCCAUCUCUCACUCUCUCAAAUACUCUUUUUUUUUCACUCGAACACUCCGGUUAUCAGUUCUAAUGCCAAUUUGUUAGAAAAUGACACUCACUUAGAUAUUUUUGAAUACGUUUCUAGUGUAUUUUCAUUUUACAUAAACCUUACAAUUUAUAGAAUUAACAUUAGACCUUUCAUCUACAUACCAUAAUGUCUCCAAUUAUUACAAAUCAAACACUAUAAUGACUACAAAACAUAACAAAGUAACUUCCUGACUCUUCCUCUCCUAGUGCAAUAACCACUACCACUCUCAAUAAUGAUAUGAUAACUCCUAAGUUUAAGUUUAUUCCUACAUCAUGGUCUAAAUCCACUCCAAUGGUCCUUAUUUCUAAUUACAAGAUGAGUUUCAAGUCAAAAGAAUAUCUAUUAUAGACUAAAUAUGGAUAUAAUACCGACCUGAAGCUUGACAGGGCUGGCAUAGACUUUGUCAGAAUUCAUUUCAGUCAGCGUAGUAACUAACGGAAACUUGUUGUAGUCUACAAACUCCAAUAUCUUAUUC